GAAUUGCCCUCAGUAGCGGGCGAGUGAAGCGGCAGAGCUCAGAUUUGAAAUCUCACCUAGUGUGCGAGUAGAAAAUUGCAGGUUGGAGUCUCGGGUUAGACGUGUGUGCAAGUCCCUUGGAACAGGGUGCCACUGAGGGUGAGAGCCCCGUAGCGUGCAUGUCGACACCUGUGAGGCCCUUCUGACGAGUCGAGUUGUUUGGGAAUGCAGCUCUAAGUGGGUGGUAAAUUCCAUCUAAGGCUAAAUAUUGGCGAGAGACCGAUAGCGAACAAGUACUGUGAAGGAAAGAUGAAAAGCACUUUGAAAAGAGAGUGAAACAGCACGUGAAAUUGUUGAAAGGGAAGGGUAUUGGGCUCGACAUGGGAUUUACGCAUCGUUGCCUCUCGUGGGCGGCGCUCUGGGUUUUUCCUGGGCCAGCAUCGGUUUUCGUUGCAGGAUAAGGACAAUUGGAAUGUGGCUCCUCGGAGUGUUAUAGCCUUUUGUAGAUGCUGCGUAUGGGGACCGAGGGCUGCGGCGGACUCGUUUCGUCUCGGAUGCUGGCACAACGGCGCAAUACCGCCCGUCUUGAAACACGGAC
This 577-nucleotide ribosomal RNA is filed under the name Pichia kluyveri. RNAcentral describes it as "eukaryotic LSU rRNA". It matches the Rfam family "Eukaryotic large subunit ribosomal RNA", at positions 72 to 666 of the family's 3401-position model. Lineage: Eukaryota; Fungi; Ascomycota; Pichiomycetes; Pichiales; Pichiaceae. The record is from RNAcentral.